GGAAGCACCGGCUAACUCCGUGCCAGCAGCCGCGGUAAUACGGAGGGUGCAAGCGUUGUUCGGAUUUAUUGGGCGUAAAGCGCGUGUAGGCGGUCUUUUAAGUCUGAUGUGAAAGCCCCGGGCUCAACCCGGGAAGUGCAUUGGAUACUGGGAGACUUGAAUACGGGAGAGGGUAGUGGAAUUCCUAGUGUAGGAGUGAAAUCCGUAGAUAUUAGGAGGAACACCGGUGGCGAAGGCGGCUACCUGGACCGAUAUUGACGCUGAGACGCGAAAGCGUGGGGAGCAAACAGGAUUAGAUACCCUGGUAGUCCACGCCGUAAACGAUGAGAACUAGGUGUCGCGGGUAA
This 347-nucleotide ribosomal RNA is filed under the name uncultured Geobacter sp. RNAcentral's name for it is "bacterial SSU rRNA". It matches the Rfam family "Bacterial small subunit ribosomal RNA", at positions 486 to 832 of the family's 1533-position model. The record is from RNAcentral. Lineage: Bacteria; Pseudomonadati; Thermodesulfobacteriota; Desulfuromonadia; Geobacterales; Geobacteraceae.